GAUGAACGCUGGCGGCGUGCCUAAUACAUGCAAGUCGAGCGAACAGACGAGGAGCUGCUCCUCUGACGUUAGCGGCGGACGGGUGAGUAACACGUGGAUAACCUACCUAUAAGACUGGGAUAACUUCGGGAAACCGGAGCUAAUACCGGAUAAUAUAUUGAACCGCAUGGUUCAAUAGUGAAAGACGGUUUUGCUGUCACUUAUAGAUGGAUCCGCGCCGCAUUAGCUAGUUGGUAAGGUAACGGCUUACCAAGGCGACGAUGCGUAGCCGACCUGAGAAGGUGAUCAGCCACACUGGAACUGAGACACGGUCCAGGCUCCUACGGGAGGCAGCAGUAGGGAAUCUUCCGCAAUGGGCGAAAGCCUGACGGAGCAACGCCGAGUGAGUGAUGAAGGUCUUCGGAUCGUAAAACUCUGUUAUUAGGGAAGAACAAAUGUGUAAGUAACGAUGAACGUCUUGACGGUACCUAAUCAGAAAGCCACGGCUAAAUACGUG
Molecule: ribosomal RNA, 496 nt
Filed under: uncultured bacterium
Lineage: Bacteria
Description: partial 16S ribosomal RNA
Rfam family: Bacterial small subunit ribosomal RNA
Source: RNAcentral